Molecule: ribosomal RNA, 252 nt
Filed under: uncultured Aminicenantes bacterium
Lineage: Bacteria; Candidatus Aminicenantota
Description: partial 16S ribosomal RNA
Rfam family: Bacterial small subunit ribosomal RNA
Source: RNAcentral
CUAGCCGUAAACGAUGGACACUGGAUAUUCCGGCAUUUCUGCUGGAGUGUCGUAGCUAACGCGUUAAGUGUCCCGCCUGGGGAGUACGAUCGCAAGGUUGAAACUCAAAGGAAUUGACGGGGGCCCGCACAAGCGGUGGAGCAUGUGGUUUAAUUCGACGCUACGCGAAGAACCUUACCUGGGCUUGAACUGCUGGUGGUAGAAGCCCGAAAGGGUAACGACCCGGAGCAAUCCGGGAGCCAGUAGAGGUGC